Molecule: non-coding RNA, 2976 nt
Organism: Cicer arietinum (chickpea)
Lineage: Eukaryota; Viridiplantae; Streptophyta; Magnoliopsida; Fabales; Fabaceae
Source: RefSeq, a predicted model, not a curated record
GUCAGGUGUUGUCUCCAUUAAAAGAUGGAAUUGUUGCUGACUGGGAUAUUGUUGACAGCAUAUGGGAACAUGCCUUCAGCAACUCCAUUUCUUUCAAGGUCAAGGAGGAGACUCAAAGUUCUGAUUUGUGUGGCGAGUGAUAAUUGAUGUUUAGUAUAAACUGAUAAGCUUGAUGGUGAAUUUAUAUGCAGUGUAUGGAUAGGAGGCAGUAUAUUGGCUUCUCUUGGUUCCUUUCAACAAAUGUGGUUCUCCAAAUCCGAGUAUGAAGAGCAUGGAGCUUCAUAUAUCCAAAGAAAGUGUCCUUGAGUUAUGAUUGGUAUGAGCAUCCUGCCACUAAUCAAUGUUGGUGUUCAGGAAGUUUUCUCAUGAACCUUGAAGUACUAGAUGAAAAUCAAGGUUUGUGACCUAUAUCUUUAGGGUCCUUAUCGCUGCCUACAUUACCACGAUGCUAAGUAUAUGUAUGGAAAAAGUGAAUCGAUGCAUCAUCCAAUGUGCCAUUAUCAUAUGUUUUAAUGCUGUAAUUUUCUGGUUACACCUUUACUGUGCUAAUUGUCAUUACGUGCUGACGAGUUGACAAAUUGUGUAAUGUAGACUUCUGCAUUUGCUGUAAUAUAAUGAUUAUAGCAAAUGCAGGAGUCCACAUUACACAACUCAUCAACACAUAAUGACACAAUAGCCGAAAUCUUUCAUUACCAGUGUUGGCGGUCAUUGUGAUUUGUGAGUGAGAAAGGUGAAUGGAUGUGAAGCGGAUAGUGACGAUAUUUAAAAAACAAAAUAUUCCGUGCAGAUAUUUUACGUGGAAUGAUGGGAGAAUAGAAUAAGGACAAAACUUUAUGUUAUUCUAUUAUCUUUUUAAACAAUAAAAAUUGAAGUUGCCUGCCAACAACACUGAUAAUGAAAGAUUCCAAAGAUUUGUCCUAUUAACCACUAAUUUCUAUAAUGUGAUGGGUUGUUUUUUUGGCAUUUGUGUUUUCAAAUCCACGCAUACCAUAUGAAAACAAAGCAUGAACUCAUCUUUGAGGUCCUUACCUGCGCAUUUAUUAUGAUGAUGUUCAGGUAAGGACUUUAAAAUGGAGUUCAUAAAUGCUUUGUUUUCAUCUAGUAUGUGCGGGUUUGAAAACACUGCUAAAAAACAACCCAUCACAUUAUAGAAAUUAGUGGUUAAUAGGACAAAUCUUUGGAAUCUUUCAAUGGUGUUGGCAGGCAUUGUCUUAUUAUAUUCUCCCAUCAUUCCACGUAAAAUAUCUGCAAAACGGAAUAUCAGCUUCACAUCCAUUCACCUUUCUCACUCACAAAUCAAUGACUGCCAACACUGAUAGAUUUCAGCGAUUUGUCCUAUUAACAUUUUUAUAAUUUGAUGGGUUGUUUUUUGGCCUUUGUUUUCAAACAAACACAUCUAUAAAUUAUAAUAAAGCAAACAUGAUAAUUUGACAUAUGUCAGCUAAGUAAAGUGUUAGAAAAAUAUCAAAUUUCUAUUAAUAGAAAUAAUACCUCAUUGUGCAGAAAUUUCUAUUAUUUCAGAACAAAAGAAGAGUUAAAUACAAUUUUUUAAUAAGUUAUUAACUGAAAUUAAAUACAAAAACUUCAAUUUUUAUUGUUUAAAAAGAUAAUAGAAUAACAAAAAGUUUUGCCCUUAUUCUAUUGUCCCAUCAUUCCACGUAAAAUAUCUGCAAAACGGAAUAUUUUGUUUUUUAAAUAGCGUCACUGUCCGCUUCACGUCCAUUCACCUUUCUCACUCACAAAUAACAAUGCUCACAAGUAACAAUGACGGCUGGUAGUGACAGAUUUCAGCGAUUUUUACAAUGUGAUGGGUUGUUUUUUGGCCUUUGUGUUUUCAAAUAAACACAUCUGUACAUUAUAAUAAAGCAAACAUGAUAAUUUGCCAAAUUUGACAAGUGUCAGUUAAGUAAAGUGUUAGGAAAAUAUCAAAUUUCUAUUAAUAGAAAUAAUAAGUGCAAAAAUUUCUAUUAUUUUAGAACAAAAUAAGAGUUAAAUACAAUUUUUUAAUAAGUUAUUAACUAAAAUUAAAUACAAAAACUUCAAUUUUUAUUGUUUAAAAAGAUAAUAGAAUAAUAUAAAGUUUUGUCCUUAUUCUAUUCUCCCAUCAUUCCACGUAAAAUAUCUGCAAAACUGAAUAUUUUGUUUUUUAAAUAGCGUCACUAUCCGCUUCACAUCCAUUCACCUUUCUCACUCACAAAUAACAAUGACGGCCAACACUGGUAAUGACAUAUUUCAGCUAUUAACCACUAAUUUUUAUAAUGUGAUGGGUUGUUUUUUUGCUUUUGUGUUUUCAAACAAACACAUCUGUACAUUAUAAUAAAGCAAAUAUGAUAAUUUGGCAAAUUUGACACGGGUUAAAGUGUUAGGAAAAUAUCAAAUUUCUAUUAAUAGAAAUAAUACCUUAUUGUGUAGAAAUUUCUAUUAUUUCAGAACAAAACAAGAGUUAAAUACAAUUUUUUAAUAAGUUAUUAACUAAAAUUAAAUACAAAAACUUCAAUUUUUAUUGUUUAAAAAGAUAAUAGAAUAAUAUAAAGUUUUGUGCUUAUUAUAUUCUCCCAUCAUUCCACGUAAAAAUAUCUGCAAAACGGAAUAUUUUGUUUUUUAAAUAGCGUCGCUAUCCGCUUCACAUCCAUUCAUCUUUUUCACUCAUCACAAAUCACAGUGUCUGCCAACGCGAUUUGUCCUAUUAACUCCUAAUUUUUAUAAUGUGAUGGGUUGUUUUUUGGCCUUUGUGUUUUCAAACAAACACAUCUUGUAAUAAUUUGGCUAAUUUGACAUGUCUAUACGUUAUAAUAAAGUAUAUGUAUGGAAAAAGAUGAUGCAUCCAUUCACUUAGCAUCAUGGUAAUGUAUGUAGGCAGCGGUAAGGACCCUAAAGAUAUAGGUCACAAACCCUUGGUUUUCAUUAGUACUAGUGUGUAACCCGUGCGUCGCACGGAAACAACUUACGAUAUUAAUAAAUAAAUUGUUAUAUUAA